CAGCAGCCGCGGUAAUACGAAGGGGGCUAGCGUUGCUCGGAAUUACUGGGCGUAAAGGGAGCGUAGGCGGAUCGUUUAGUCAGGGGUGAAAUCCCGGGGCUCAACCUCGGAACUGCCUUUGAUACUGGCGAUCUUGAGUAUGGGAGAGGUGUGUGGAACUCCGAGUGUAGAGGUGAAAUUCGUAGAUAUUCGGAAGAACACCAGUGGCGAAGGCGGCUCACCGGACUGGUAUUGACACUGAGGUGCGAAAGCGUGGGGAGCGAACAGGAUUAGAUACCCGCGUAGUCCCUGUCUCUUAUAU
Molecule: ribosomal RNA, 301 nt
Filed under: uncultured bacterium
Lineage: Bacteria
Description: partial 16S ribosomal RNA
Rfam family: Bacterial small subunit ribosomal RNA
Source: RNAcentral